This 1605-nucleotide long non-coding RNA is filed under the name Vulpes vulpes (red fox). Its description in RNAcentral is "lncRNA (ENSVVUG00000011687.1)". Lineage: Eukaryota; Metazoa; Chordata; Mammalia; Carnivora; Canidae. The record is from RNAcentral.
AUAUUAUUUGUCUUAUGGUCUCAUUUGUUAUGAGCUCUUGGUUGUCACCAACAAACAUUUACUGAGCACCUGUUGGGUGCAGGGCAUUGUGUUACAGACUGUGGAUAUAAAUUGAAAUGGGAAAUUUUCUAUGCUUUAAAGAGGCUAACAAUUGAUUUCAUGAGACAGGAAACACAUAUAAAAUAAUUAUAGUACCAUAUGGCAAACAAUGGCAAGUGGUGGAUAAAACAUAGUCAGAAAAUGACAUGGAAGUUGAGAGAAAUGUCACUUUUGUGAAGCUUUGUGGUCUUACACAACUUGCUUAAUUCUUCCUAGCUUCAGUUUUCUUACCUGCAAAGUGGGUGUGCUGUGAGAAUUAUAUCAGAAAAUACAUAUAAAUCACUUAGUGCCUGACACAGAGACCAUUGAAUAAAUGGAAAUAGUUAUUAAUAUUUUCUUCUCUUCUUUCCUUCCUCUGGUUUUUUCCCUCUUCUUACUUAUCUUUCCUGAAGUCUCAGACUAAAUAAUAGAAAGGACUCAGCCUUUAAGGAAAGUACAGAGAAGUUAGAAACUCAUGGGGAAGAAGUUUUUGACAUGGGGAAGUGAAAUCAUGUGUGCUCCCUUCUCCCCUGCCUCCAGCUCCAUCUGCUUUUUCUACGUCCUAAGUGAGGCUCUGCUCUUGAAUCCUUCACUCCUUUCUUCUCCUGGCAAUAUGGACAUGAUCCCCCUCCAAGUCUGAGGAUAACCUACACCAUAUUCCAAAGUGUGAGAUAAGUAGAAUUUCUCUUUAGGGCUCCAUUCCCCGAAAGAGCAUCUUAGAAGGGAUAUCUUUCCUUUCCUUCCCCUAAACUCAUUAAUUGUAGAAUUUUAUUCCCUAAUGCCAUGUGUCACUAAAUGGCAGAAGAAGGUCAGUACUUGGCUGGCAGGGGUGUUUGUUUGUUUUUUGGCAUGAACAGUGUUUUUUUUUUUCUCUCUCUCUCUCUCUUUUACUUUCCUUGCUUACUUGCUAUUUUUAUUUUUUCAGCUGAACCCACAUCUAAAAAAGAAUUCUUUGCAGUAUCAAGGAAAGAACAAAUAAGCAAUCAAACAAAUGAAUACAUUGGAAGUCACAGCAUCACAUUUAAUGCUAAAAAGAGAAAAGUAGAAUAUGUUGUUUGUUUUUGCAAACAUGAAUAGAGCAUCAUCAGGUGGCAGAGUGAGCAGCGGAAGCAUGUUGGGCCCAUGAAUAGAGCAUCAUGGAAACAGUCAAUUCUUUGUCCUGUCUUCCAUAAUCCCCCCCCCCCCCCCCCGAGGUUUCGCUGAAGACUGAAAAGACUGAAAAGCAUGGCUUUUCUUAAGUUUUCUUCCAGUUUUCUCCUUAGUCCCAGCCCUCUCAUGUUGUACAUAGUUUCCAAAAAGAACAACAUACAAUAUUAAACUCAAAUCUUGUGGUUGCUAAAAGAUUAUCAAUCAAUUAAUUCACAAAUCCCAGAAUUUACAUAUGAGAUAAUCAUUACAAAGAUGGACUCACCUUAUAAGGUAAGGUACCCAUUUCAAACACCUUUAUAUUUAGAAAGCAGAACUAUAUGACUCCAUAGGAUAGAUUCAUUUCAACAAUAAAUAUUUCAUGAAUAAAAAUAAAUGACA